This 867-nucleotide unclassified non-coding RNA is filed under the name Hevea brasiliensis (rubber tree). The record is from RNAcentral. Lineage: Eukaryota; Viridiplantae; Streptophyta; Magnoliopsida; Malpighiales; Euphorbiaceae.
GCUAUGUUCAAAUAAAUUAAUUCAGUUUGGGGGACUGUUGGUGUUUUCGAUAUUUUUCCUCUUUUUUUAAGGUCCAGAAAAUGGAUUUACCAUAAAAAUAGCAUUAAAGUUGAAUUUUCUGGAGGCAUAUUUGGUAGCUUAUAUGCAUGUUAAUUGAAAUUGUUGACCAAUGCCUAAAGGAUGAGGCAGAACAAACUAUGGAAAAACAGAAAUAUUGCAGCUGCAUGACUGUUAAAAUGAUAAUAUACAAAUGGUGAUAGUAGCAUUAUUAACUAGAGGAACUCUAUUGCUGCAUCAGUAUUGUGAUUGCAAUUGUUAGGCAAGGCAUUUGUAGAUAUAUCGUAUCCUCAUAUGAUUAAUCAUCUAUAGUUGUUCUGUUGAUUAUUAUGGUUGAUCUCCUUUAAUUUUUUCUUUAUUUUUUCCUCAUUUUGUUUCUUCCAAGGGUCAUUAUGGAGUUGGAUUUGAGUCUUUGAUAUACUAUGCAACUAGGCAUUGAUAGUUGGUUGAACUAUUCAGAUCAUUGCUCUUGCUGUUCUUGACUGAUGUGUAACAAGACUUAAUUGUUGAAAUAGGUGACCUCAUGGGUAAUUUUUUUUUCUUUAUUUGCUGGUAGUCUGCUAAGCAUAAAAAGUACCCAUCUAACUCUAAACACGCGUGAAGCUGUCAGGCAUGCAUGGUAACCUGUUGGCUUCUAUCACUGUAUUCUCUCUCUCACUCACUCACUCUCUCCCCUUCUUUCUUUCUCUUGAUGUUAGUACUUGGACAAUAGAAUUCAUUCGUUUUUCAUUUCAUUCAUCAUUCAUGGUUAUUACAUUGAAUCUGGUAGAGAUUAUGGCUUUUCUGUUCUUUUAAUCAUGGUCUUGAACU